Non-coding RNA from Paramuricea clavata, 166 nucleotides. NCBI's taxonomy places the organism in Eukaryota, Metazoa, Cnidaria, Anthozoa, Malacalcyonacea, Plexauridae. The record is from the annotation of a GenBank genome assembly.
AACGUCUAUACGACCGUAUCUACAUAUUUUUGCAUGUUUACAAAUUUUAAUCUUAAUUAAACAGCCAAUCCGGUUCUUGGUAACAAUUACAAUUAAACGCGUCGAUUGGCUGUUUAAAAUUAGAAUUGUAAACAUGCAAAAAUAUGUAGGUGCGGUCGUAGACGUU